This 460-nucleotide ribosomal RNA is filed under the name uncultured bacterium. RNAcentral's name for it is "partial 16S ribosomal RNA". It matches the Rfam family "Bacterial small subunit ribosomal RNA", at positions 338 to 795 of the family's 1533-position model. The record is from RNAcentral.
CCUACGGGUGGCAGCAGUGAGGAAUAUUGGUCAAUGGGCGAGAGCCUGAACCAGCCAAGUAGCGUGAAGGAUGACUGCCCUACGGGUUGUAAACUUCUUUUGUAGGGGAAUAAAGUGAGGCACGUGUGCCUUAUUGUGUGUACUUGAUGAAUAAGGAUCGGCUAACUCCGUGCCAGCAGCCGCGGUAAUACGGAGGAUCCGAGCGUUAUCCGGAUUUAUUGGGUUUAAAGGGUGCGUAGAUGGGUGGUUAAGUCAGUUGUGAAAGUUUGCGGCUCAACCGUAGAAUUGCCUUUGAUACUGGCAGCCUUGAGUACAGGUGAGGUAGGCGGAAUGCGUGGUGUAGCGGUGAAAUGCUUAGAUAUCACGAAGAACUCCGAUUGCGAAGGCAGCUUACUAAACUGCCACUGACAUUGAUGCUCGAAAGUGUGGGUAUCAAACAGGAUUAGAUACCCCGGUAGUC